Long non-coding RNA from Mesocricetus auratus (golden hamster), 1453 nucleotides. RefSeq lists it as uncharacterized. Lineage: Eukaryota; Metazoa; Chordata; Mammalia; Rodentia; Cricetidae. The record is from RefSeq and is a predicted model, not a curated record. The transcript is spliced from 6 exons.
GAGACGAGAACAAGGGAGAAAGAGAGGGAGAUGCCCUGUGGCAAAAGUGGCCCCACAUUUUGACUAUUUGAGAACACAGAAGAUAUUCCUGAAAAACAGUUUAUUGCAGCUUCACUCAUAUUAAAUAAACCUUUUCAAGCCAGCAAGAUAAACUUCAGUUCCAUUACAUUUUAAGGCCUGUAAGGCCAGUUAUUGGGAGCAAUUAAGAAAUAGAGGCAGCAAGACUAAUUCCAUGUUUGGAUGAGUCUUAGGAGUUGUAUUGCAUGGUACCUAUAUGUGAAUAAGAAGAAGAUGUUCCUGCAGCUUGACAAGGCCUCUUUUAAGACAAAAGAAGAGGACAACAAAAUUGAAAGACUCAAACCACUGGGCCCUGUGGUCAAGGAAUGUUGUUCUUCCUUUUUGAAGCUACAGGACAGGAGAACAGCUGAAGUAGACUUAUGGAGAUUGUUGAACUAUUUCUACUGGCUAUAGAAUUAAAUAAAGCAAUACCCCUCCUUGGCAACUUUAUAAUAGGCACAAGAGUGGUUACCUUAGUUCACAGAGCUUUCUCGUUCUUUCUUUCUUUUUUUUGUAUACCUGUGCCAUUGCAUCAGUCCUGAAAUUGUGCUAAGCCCACAGCUGGCUCUUUUGAAAGGAAUUGCACUAAUGUACAUGAAAAGGAAAUCUCAAAAUAGAUGAUAGGAUUCUCACAAGUUACAUAAUUUUGGAAAAAGUUCAAAAUUCUGAAAUCCAUCCACAAAUUAUUACUAUACUGAACUUGACUUUUUCUGUGUAUUUAUUCACUGUCCUAAUAUUAGAAUUCCUGUAGGAAUGCACAGUAGUCGAUCACUGUGAUGGUAGCCCUUUUGAUGAAUGAAACAGUGGGCCCAUUCAUAGAAGAGCCAUGGGAUUGCAACUGGGAUUUUUCAAAAUUACUUUAAGAAUGAUCCAUUUAUAUCUAUAUCUUUCCUUGACAGAAAACAGAAUUAUAAUGCCUGUAAACACAAAAACUAAAACAGAUUUCAGAUAGCAGUCAGUACUAAAGUACCCAUGUGGGUUGCAAUGCUCACUUAGGAUCUCUGCCUACAAUUGUAUACAGAGAUAAUAGGUUUAUCUCUAAGUGUGACCAUUCAUCUCAGCUGAGUUUUGGUCUUAUUUUUAAAGCUGAAAUCAUGAGGCAAAGGUCUAUAUUUAUCUGUAUGUAACCAUUAGUCCUCUAUCUCAAAAUCUUGUGUAACUGUGUAAGCAUUUUUGAAAUAUGGUCCUGAGCCUAGAUGUAAACGUCAAAAUACUUAAAUACUAGAAUUAGAUUUUGUAAUUUAGUACUGUAGAACUCUUAAUAUGAAUUUGUUAAUUUUUGGUUUUCUUAUAUUAAAAAAAGUAUUAGGUAAUAAAGUCUCUGAAAGUAUCCAGUGUCUAUUUUUCAGAGUGCAAAGCCUUUGAAGUUGUAAUGCCUAUUGACUUCAUACAAAGC